GACGUAGGGCGCGAGCGUUAAUCGGAAUUACUGGGCGUAAAGCGUGCGCAGGCGGCGCGUUAAGACAGGUGUGAAAGCCCCGAGCUUAACUUGGGAAUUGCGCUUGUGACUGGCGAGCUGGAGUGUGGCAGAGGGAGGUGGAAUUCCACGUGUAGCAGUGAAAUGCGUAGAGAUGUGGAGGAACACCGAUGGCGAAGGCAGCCUCCUGGGCCAGCACUGACGCUCAUGCACGAAAGCGUGGGGAGCAAACAGG
This 253-nucleotide ribosomal RNA is filed under the name uncultured bacterium. RNAcentral describes it as "partial 16S ribosomal RNA". It matches the Rfam family "Bacterial small subunit ribosomal RNA", at positions 524 to 776 of the family's 1533-position model. The record is from RNAcentral.